GUAGGGAAUAUUGCGCAAUGGACGAAAGUCUGACGCAGCGACGCCGCGUGAGUGAUGAAGGCCUUAGGGUCGUAAAGCUCUGUUGAAUGGGAAGAAAAAAAUGACGGUACCAUUCGAGGAAGGACCGGCUAACUUCGUGCCAGCAGCCGCGGUAUUACGAGGGGUCCUAGCGUUGUUCGGAAUCAUUGGGCGUAAAGGGUGUGUAGGUGGCCAUGUAAGUCAGGUGUGAAAGCCCCGGGCUCAACCCGGGAAGUGCACUUGAUACUGCGUGGCUUGAGUACCGAAGAGGGUAGUGGAAUUCCAGGUGUAGUGGUGAAAUACGUAGAUAUCUGGAGGAACACCGGUGGCGAAGGCGGCUACCUGGUCGAGUACUGACACUGAGACACGAAAGCAUGGGGAUCAAACAGGAUUAGAUACUCCUGUAGUCC
Molecule: ribosomal RNA, 428 nt
Filed under: uncultured bacterium
Lineage: Bacteria
Description: partial 16S ribosomal RNA
Rfam family: Bacterial small subunit ribosomal RNA
Source: RNAcentral